RNAcentral lists this non-coding RNA (102 nucleotides) under Salisediminibacterium selenitireducens. RNAcentral describes it as "Bacillus selenitireducens Guanine sequence". It matches the Rfam family "Purine riboswitch aptamer". From Rfam's summary of the family: Riboswitches are metabolite binding domains within certain messenger RNAs that serve as precision sensors for their corresponding targets. Lineage: Bacteria; Bacillati; Bacillota; Bacilli; Caryophanales; Bacillaceae. The record is from RNAcentral.
ACGCAUAACGUGAACACGCUUCGUAUAUCUCCGGAAAUAGGGUCCGGAAGUCUCUACCGGGUGACCGUAAAUCACCCGACUAUGAAGGUGGCUUUGACCCUC